CAGUAGCGUAUAUUAACGUUGUUGCGGUUAAAAAGCUCGUAGUUGGACUUCGCGUAGACAUUUAGUUUACGUCUGGAUGCUUUGCAUUCGCGUUACCUUGAAGAAAUUAGAGUGUUCACAGCAGCUUCGGCAUUGAAUACAUUAGCAUGGAAUAAUAACAAAGAGACAAUCACUUUGUUGUUGGGCGAUGAUUGUUUAAAGAUUAACAGGAACAGUUGGGGCAUUCGUAUUUUACUGUCAGAGGUGAAAUUCUUUGAUCGGUAAAAGACGGACUAAUGCGAAAGCAUCUGCCAAGGAUGUUUUCAUUGA
This 309-nucleotide ribosomal RNA is filed under the name uncultured eukaryote. RNAcentral's name for it is "partial 18S ribosomal RNA". It matches the Rfam family "Eukaryotic small subunit ribosomal RNA", at positions 592 to 976 of the family's 1831-position model. The record is from RNAcentral.